GCAGAAUUCAGGAAAGCAAAGUUGAUCUUGGCUCCGUUUCUGUAAAUCUUGGUAGGCAUAAUUUCAUUCUCAAGACAAGUAGAAAACCUUGACUACCUUCCCCAUCUUGACCCCACCUCCCAAACCCCAUCCAGCCGUGUCUAGAACUUGUAAAGCACGUAGCCUUACUUUUCCAGGAACAAGGUUUAUUGUUGUGCUUCUGCAGAGUCCUCCGUGUGAUUUCUGGGACAGCCCUGUCAACCCUCUGGGUGUGAUCUCAGCCAGAAUGUGUCACGAUGGCAGACAUGGGAUGAAAAGAACUGGGAAGAAAGGAACUGGGAUGUCCAAAUGGUCCUAGACUCCACAGGUGCCUUCAGAGGCAAAGCGGCUUCCUGCUGAAGCCCAGGCCCAUCUCACCAGCAUUUGGACAGAACUGUCACUACUACGGAGGUCCCAGUUUUGGUGACUGUGGGUUCCAAAACGUUACUUUCCUUAGGCGAAGUCAGGCUGAGUUGGCACUGGCUCUUCGAGGAGCACCCAAACCCCACGCUUCCCAUGCUGACCCAUGGAGUAGUAAGAGCCAGGGUCCCGGGCCACCUGCCUGGGAUCUGCCCUGGUUGUGCCACAAGGUUGGGAAUUGGGGCAGGCUUUUAGCUAUCAGAUCCCUCCACAGCUGGAGUUCACAAAAACUUCACUGCGUCACUCAGUGUCAGCCUUUGGCUUCUUGAGCAUCAUCUCGUCUGCCACCAACUUGCUGAUCACUCAGUCUCUUCCUAUUUAAAUCCAAAGGGACAGAGCCUGAUCAGCUCCACAACUUGAAACUCCUGGGCAGGGCUUUUUCUUCCAGCCUCUUCAUAGGUUACCAACCAGUCAGUGGAUGGGCUGCUCUUGAGUUCAGGGGACGCUCUUUUGCCCAGUCAGGGGCCAUUUCUUGUUCAAGCCCAGCCUAAAGCCAUUUUCCUCCCCCGGGCCUCCUGAUAGGGUGGUUUCCCUUAGGAGGGCACUCAGGUGUGGCUGACACCAUCACUCACAAAUCAGAACCCAAACUUCACCAGGAGGCUCUGCUUCUCCCCAUCCACCCCAGCUCCUUGCUAAGCUUUGACAAGCUCGGCAGAACUGAGUGAGAUCCAAGGGACAAAUGCACCCGUGCUUCCUGGCUCCUGGACGUGAGAAGGCUCAGCAGGAAGGCUGGGAUUCACAGAGAAACAUCAUCAGUUGUGCACCGUGUCUGCAAACACUAACCAUUACUGCAGUCUCUGCUGGAGUCUGACUUAUCUCUUUUGAUUUUUAAUUUUAAUGUUUUAAUUUUUUGUAGAGAAAGGGGUCUCGCUGUGUUGCCCAAGCCGACCUUGAACUCCUGGCCACAAGCAUCCUCCUGCCUUGGCCUCCCAGAAUGCUGGGAUUACAGGCACGAGCCACCGCGGCCGGCCCAUGACUUAUCUUUAAAUCCCAGUAGGUAGCCCUACGCCUGGCACUUAGCUGGCCCUCAGGAUACUUUUUUUGGAGUAGCCAUAGAUAAGUAGGGAUGCCCCAGGGAGAUUGGGAUGAGCAAUACUGAGAAGUUUCAGGCACAGUUCUGCGGCCAGAGUGCUUGGUCUCUUUCCACCAUCACCUGGUUUCCCUGGACCAGUUUUACAUCUCAUUAAUAGCUUAUAUUUCAUUUUCUUUGUAGUUCUCUUGCAGUGUUUCCCAAUGUGCAUCCUAUGGGACAAUAGUUCAGUGGAAUAUUAAUUAUUAUAGUGCAAAGGGAUUCUGAGAUCAAGUGAGUUUGGGAAAUACCAAGUUAAAGAAAAGGAAUCCGGUUUAUUUGCUGAGGGACUUAUCAGAGCCUUUACUGUGUUAAUGUAUGUUGUUGCCAUCCACAAAGGUAAUGGAGGCUUUUGUGUUUCCCACACUUUUUUGACCUUGAUCAUUAUUUUUCCCCCAUGAGUAUCUCACAGGACUAGUGUUCUGAGGAGCGGUACACUGAGAAAUGGCACUCUAGAUGGAAAGGAAAUGCUGUCUUUCCCCUUUAUUGGAUAUGUGGGAUUCGCAGAAUUUGCUUAUUUGUCUGAUCCAUGAUUGCUGGAUAUGGGAGGACAGGCAUGUGUUAGACUGUCCAUCUUCAGAGAGGUUUCCUGCUCUUCCAGGUGUCCACUAGUUAUGGCUAUGGUCGCUAUGGUGGCAGCAGGGAGGCCGCAGACCCCAGAGGGGAUUAGGCAUAUCUGUGUAUAAACUUUGGGCAAUUUCUCCCUUUCACUUGGGCUUGAGUCACAGCAUUGCGUACCCUAAGAAAACAGCAUGAGAUAUAUAAAGUUCCCUUCCUCCCACAAAACAGCCUGGUUUUCGUCUCGAUAUGGACGGGCUAGUAGGAGUAGAACAUGGGAUGAUGUAUCGUUUCUCCUGGGUUUCUCAACCUCAGCACGACUGACAUUUGGAUAGGAUCACGGUUUGUGGGGCCUGUGCCUUGGAGGAUGUUUGCGGCAUCUCUACCCACUGGAUGUCAGUAGAAGGUAUCAUUCCUCCUGCCUCCCCAUUGUGAAAACCCAAGAUGUCUGCAAACAUUGCCAAGUGUCCUCUAGGAGACAAAAAUCCCUCUCCCAUUGAGAACCACUGCUUUAAGAGAAGAUUGUGCAGCUGGGCGUGGUGGCUCAUGCCUGUAGUCCCAGCUCUUUGGGAGGCUGAGGUGGGUGGAUCACGAGGUCAAGAGAUCGAGACCAUCCAGGUCAACAUGGUGAAACCCCAUCUCUACUAAAGAUACAAAAAAUUAGCUGGGCAUGGUGGCGCGCGCCUGUAAUCCCAGCUACUCAGGAGGCUGAGGCAGCAGAACUGCCUAAACCCAGGAGGUGGAGAUUGCGGUGAGCUGAGAUCGCACCACUCCACUCCAGCCUGGGUAACAAAAGCGAAACUCUGUCUCAAAAAAAAAAAGGAGAAGAUUGUGCAAAGUCUGUGGAAGGCUGUUGGAAUACUCUUGGAAGCAUUUUAUCAUACUCUUGGAAGAAGGAAAAUAGUGCUAUCAUGCUCAAAGCAUGGUCUGAGAGCCUGUAAGACAUGCCAACUAAUUAAACUCUCCCUUGGGGCGUUUUCUUAACUCAUCCUUAAAGCUCAUGUAUCUGUUGAGUUUCUUGGUUGCAAGUUACAGAAAACCCAACCCAAAAUAGUCUAAGCCAGAAAAUGAAUUUUUUGGCUCUAGUAACUGAAGAGUCCAACAUAGGGCUAACUUCAGGUACAGCUGGAUCCAGGUGCUUAAACAGUGUUAUCAAAAAUCAAUAAUUUUUCCAAAUCUUUGCUCUGAUUCCCCACUAUUGAUUUCAUUCUCAGACAGGCUCUUCCCAUGUGGCAGUGAGAAAGCUGCCAGCAGCUCCGGCCUACUCCUCACUAGAACAGAUCUGGUGGAAAGGGAAAGCUUCUCUUCACUCACGGUUUAAUGCAAGUCCUGGAUCUGAUUCCCAUUGGCCCAGGAUACUAUGCUAUUCUCAUUAGCUAUGCCGGCUUCACAUGCCUGUCCCCGAAGCCUGGGGAGGAGCCAACACCAACGGAACCAUUCAGUAGGGAACAGGGGAGGAAUGGUUCUUUAGAGGCAAACAGGGGCAGUUACUUGAAGAAAGGUUAGUAGAUGCUGGUCAGGGAAGCACCUCUAUUUCCUCAUUAAUAAAAAUAACUAAAGAGCAGCCAAUGGCAGCUCCCACUUGUGGAACAUGAACUCUACCUGCACUGCGUUAUUCCUAAUCACCACCAACAUCCUGAGAGGCAGCUAUUGUCAACCUAUUUUACAGAUGGGUAAGUAGAGUCUCAGAGUUAGGUGAAAUGACUUGGUUGAAGUCACAAAGCGGGGCAGUGGCUGAGCCACAGACCAGAGGCAUCCUUUUCCCUCUUCUAGGACACCCUCUGUAACCAACUUUCUUCCUGCAGCAAUCUGAAAGGAGUCACAAGGUCUCCUGUUGCUAUUUUGGCAAGAAGUGGGCAGAUAUUGGAGGGCUGCGCUCCAGGCUACUGCCCAAUCUUUUCUUGUCAAUUUCAUGCCAGUUUGUGACAAUCAUCCCUGAAGGACCCUAUUGAUAAAACAAGAAAGGGAGUGCGUGGCUGGCAUUUUCUGGCUUGGCUUUGUUUUGUCUGCUUGGUCUGUUUUCCUAGCCUCCUUUUUUGCCCAUUGCCGUUGUUUUAUCUUCCAUUCCCCCGGGGGGCCUUCAGAGGGUGCAUUAUUAAUAAAGCUAACGUUGGCCAGGAGUGGUGGCUUAUGCCUGUAAUCCCAGCACUUUGAGAGGUCGAGGUGGGAGGAUCAUGAGGUCAGGAGUUUGAGACCAUCCUGGCCAACAUAGUGAAACCCCGUCUCUACUAAAAAAACAAAAACAAACCAAAAAAAAUCCCACAAAAAUUAGCUGGGUGUGGUGGUGCACUCCUGUAAUCCCAGCUACUUGAGAGACUGAAGAAGCAGAAGGGGGCCGGGCGUGGUGGCUCAAGCCUGUAAUCCCAGCACUUUGGGAGGCCGAGGCGGGUGGAUCACAAGGUCAAGAGAUUGAGACCAUCCAGGUCAACAUGGUGAAACCCCAUCUCUACUAAAAAUACAAAAAAUUAGCUGGGCAUGGUGGCACGUGCCUGUAAUCCCAGCUACUUGGGAAGCUGAGGCAGGAGAAUAGCCUGAGCCCAGGAGGCGGAGGUUGCGGUGAGCCGAGAUUGCGCCAUUGCACUCCAGCCUGGGUAACAAGAGCGAAACUCCGUCUCAAAAAAAAAAAAAAAAAAGAAGCAGAAGGAUCGCUUGAACCUGGGAGGUGGAGGUUGCAGUGAGCCAAGAUUGUGCCACUGCACUCCAGCCUGGGUGACAGAGCAAGACUCCGUCUCGAAAAACAAAAAAAAAAGCUAAAUUUCCAGAAGGCUUACCAUGUGCUGGACAUUGUGUUAACAAAUUUCCAUGACAUGAUUUCAUGAAGUUUUCUCAACUAUCAUAUCAAGUAGACACUACUAUUAUCCCCAUUUUGCAGAUGCAGCAACUGAGACCUGGAGAGGCUGAAGGACUUGCCCCAGGUUACCCAGCCAGCAGACAGGAGAAUUUGUGUUUGAAUCCAGGCAGGACUUACUGCCUUUAGUGUGGCAUCAAAACUUGACGAAGUUGCAAACCAGUGGCCUGUGAGUCAAAUCUGGCUAACAGAUAUAUUUUGUUUGGCCCACAAAGUAUUUCAAAAACCAUUUGAACUCAUUGCCAAUGUUUAAAAAUUGAGAACCUGCACAUUAAAAAACAAAAUUUGUUCUUUUCUGCUUCUCUUGAAAAAAAAAAAAAGGACUGGCACCACUGGGCCUACAUUCCUGCCUGGCAGAGACUGGCUGGAGCUGCAGCUCAGUCCUACAUGCCUGCUUCGGUUGGGGUGUGUUCCUCCAGCUCGACGCAGUCCCCACCACUCCCUAAAGCCUUCCCAAGGCGGAGGCCAGUGUCAUUUGCUGUGGCUCACUGUUCGUGCUCUGCUGGGUCCCAUGUACCCUCCUGGCUUACCUGCCUGGCUGUGGAGGGCAUGUGGGCUUGCUGUUCCUCCCCCACGUGCAGGGGAUCCCGCCAGCUUCUGACCACAGUGGUUUGGGAUUGCUGUAAUCUCGCCACAAAUUCAGUGGAAAGGUCUCCUGCUGGUGAAGCUCUCUUAGGGACUGGAAGAGUUGGACAGGACCCCAAAUUUUCCUUUCCUCCGAUACCCCAAUCCCACCCCUUCCCAAACUGUGGUUUAUUGGUCAGCCAAGGCCACUUUCUUGGUACUGUUUGUCUUGGGUACAUGACCGCUUUUUCUUGCUCCCCACAGAGCCCCCUAACGUUUUCUUCCUAAUCCUCCUCAGGAGAACCAUCACCUGGAUUAUCAUGAAACCCGAGUGCAUGCGGCGUGAGGUACGACCCUUUACAACUGGCAGACCAUCUCGUUUCUGCCCAGUUCUGUUUGUUUAAACCCUUUGCUGGCAGGACUCCAGCUCAGGGGCAGAGUUCCAUGGCGUUCACAGGCAGAUGUUCUGGCCUGUUGCAAGGAGCAACGUUAAUAGCCAGGACAGGAGAGCUGGUGGCUGGAAUCCAGGGCGAGGGGGUGGAGGGCACCUCACGGGCGCGUUUAGGGAGGAGAGGGAUUGGGAUGAAAACAACGGCUCACAGUACUUUUGCAAAUGGAGUUUACAGGCCCCAUUUAACGCAUGAGAACACCGAGGCUUAGAGAGAUGGGGUUACUUGUACAAGGUUACAAAGGUAGUUAGAGAAGGGAAAAUAGAUGAAAUAUUUUAUAGUUCAGGGCAUAAGACUCUGCCAAUUUCAGGCAUGUAGAUGAUGAUGGUGGUGGUGGUGGUGAUAAUGAUGACGAUAGGAACUGAAAGGCACAGUGAAGGCCUUAAAGAUCUUCUGGAUGUGGUCAUUGUAACCUGUCAAGGCACGACCUGGCUUCUUUUACAGCAUGACUUUUCCUCUAGAAUGACAGAAUGGCCAAGAGUGGGGACGUUGACACUGCACAGACCUGGGGCUGACCCAGCCCUGCUGCUGAGUGGCUGAGUGGCCCCUGUGAGUUCUGUAACUUCCAUGAGCCUCAGUGUCCUCAUUUGCAAAAUGGGAGGAAAGAGUAGAUCAUAGGAAUUUUGUGAGGAAUGAAUGAAAGACUGCAUAUAAAGCGCAGAGCCUGCAUCUGGCAUGCGAGACUUGUUGAAAGAAUGUUAACUUGUCCCGUUUUACUGUGAAGUGGCAACACGAGGUUCUGCACACAGCCAGGGUUCACUGAACACGGCUAAGCCCAGAGUCCUCAUUUGGAGGCAGUGGCGAGAACCCAGGCUCAAGCAGCAGCGCUUCAACUUUCUAAGCAGCUGGAGGGAACAUCACACCCCCUGGAAGUGGGUAAAGUCGGUGCAGGGGAUGAUACUUCCCGUGUAGGUCUGUUGAGGGAUGAGAUGCUGUCUGUAAAGUGCUCAGCGCAUAGUAGGUGCACAACCAAGUUAUUGUUCGUGUGGAGAACUUGUCUCAUGCCCAGACUGGGCUUACCCCAGAUGAGUCAGGGUCAAGUGCACAUCCUUUUCUUCGAGGAAAUCAAGGUGAACCGGGUGAAUGGCUUGGCACCUUCUCACAUGCAGACCUGCUGGGAGUGGGAGGUGGACCUGCAGGGUUCUGCAUAAUCCGGAGCUCAUUUCAUGGACAGAAAAGAAACAAAAAACCAGGCACCCUCUCCUGAGGGCCUGCUAUGUCCAGAUGCUUCGCUGAAAUUGAGAGUAUUUAUUUCUCAGUCACAAACUCAGGUGUGAGAAAAUGGAACUCUGUGUCCAGAACACAGUUAACUCUGGUUUCCAGAUCCCUCCACGAGCCUUACCGCAGGCUGCUUAACCCAGUCCUCUUCUGGCCGGAACUGAGGGAUUUAAGCUCUGAUUUGGGUUUAUAAUUCAGGUUUCCUCCCAGACUCCUCCUCCGGCUCUGGGUCGUGCUGGAGGUGGGAUGUGGGGGCUGGGGGGCUCUCCUCUGGCUCAGCCCCUUCUCUCCAGCUUGGCUCCCAGGGCCUGAUGACUGUUGUACCAAACCGUGGCCUUGACCUCUAUCUGGUGCUGGCCCUGGAGCCCUGUGAGAUGUCAGCCUGGAUGUAGUGGAAGACCUGUGGGAGCCCGGCUCAGGAAAUGCAGAUGCCUUGAGGCCUUCCACAGGUUUUCUCAGGUGCGGACACCCAGCGCUGCCAUCUGCUGUCCCAGGGUGCGAACACCUGCAUCCCCGUAUUCCAGGAGUGCCGUUGCCUGUGCACUCGCAGCAGGUCUCAUCUCAUCCUGGCAGCAGCUUGUAGGGUUGGGAGCAGCUGUGAGCCGUUUGUGCAGGAGUGCUCGGGGUGAUGGUUAGGUGCUUCGUCAUUCAGCCUGGGCGGAAUGAUCCUAAAGCUUGCCCUCCUUCUCCUAGGUAGCACUGCUUCGAACCUAGUCCUAGCAAGACUCCUAGGAGUCUUCUGAUCAUGGGAUAACCUAUCUGUAUCACGGCUCACAAACUGCUUUUAGACCCUCUCUGCUGCAGUGGAGGAAACAGGGCCCCAGAGAGGGGAAGACUUACCCAAGUCACACAGCUAAGAGGCAAAAUCAGGAUUCAGACUCCUGAUUCAACCUCCCAGCGCUCACUCCACUGUGCCUUGUUGGCCCGGCCCUAGAAGGCCUCCUGGCUGGAGGUCAUUGCCUGAGCCUGGGGAUGACACACUGUCCACUGGAUGUCAUGAUUUCUCUAUUGAAGCUAGCUAGACCUUUUGGCAGUGACACAGGAUUUUUCCCUUUCCUUGGGCAAGGCAGUCUCAUACGGGACACUCAGAUGUUGGAUCCCCCUCCUUUUGGCUCAAAGACAGGAGGUAAGACCUGUAUCCUGUUUUCCUAGGGUGGAGAAGGUCUGCACAAAGGAGGAUCCCCUCUUUCCUGGGGACCUGGGACCACCACAGCCUUCUCCACUCCAUGGCCCCCUCCACAGCCUCUGCCCACAUCCCCUUUCCUGGGCUCCAAGUUGUAGCUCGUUAGUUAACUCUUCAUUCCCGAAGUCUCUAAGAAAAAAAUGUCCUCCCCACGCAGUUUCUCCACCUGGGAAACAGGUGGCCUUCUCUCUCUCUCUCUCUCUCUACGGGCGUCAAGUCAGGACAGAAUGCACUGAAAGCAAAGCCCUGCCUGGCUCUGGGCUGCCCGCUGUGUGCUGAGGAUCUGGGGGCAAACCAGCCAUGCUCCCAGCUGAGCGGGAGGUCCUCACAAGCCUGCACAGUUUGACCUUGCUGAGGUGAGGGCUCUGCAUUGACAUGACAGAGAAAGAUGGCACAGGCAUUUCUGGGGGAGUCCCAGGGCCGGCAUUGGAGGCCUGUCGAAGUGCUGAGGCUUCAAUGACAGCGCAUGUGCAGCUGGAGCAGGAAGUGAAAGGCAGGGAUGGGGCUCCUUAAAGAAGGGGCUUGGGGCACCGCCAUCCAUCAUCCACACCACUUCCAGCAUUGCCUCUCCCCCAGGCCCCACCCCACCACCCUGAGGCAGUGGGGAGAGGACAGGGCUCGGCACAAGACAGCCUGGCCUCUUGUUCUUUGAUUCUACCAUCAGCAAAUGACCUUGGGAAAGUCAAUUGACCUCUCUCAGCUUUCGUUUUCUCAUGUGCAAAGUUAGAAUAACACUUAGGCAGUGCAAUCAUAGAUACUGAAAGUACUUUGGAACAAGCAAAAAAAAAAAAAAAAAAAGACCAAUUUGGUGUUUGUCAAUUAAAUGUUUUGAUAACAUUUAUCAAGAUAAUCUCCAUUAAAUAUUCUAAGAGUGGGCUGGAUGUGGUGGCUGAGGUGGGCGGAUCACCUGAGGUCAGGAGUUCGAGACCAGCCUGGCCAACAUGGUGAAACCCCAUCUCUACUAACAAUACAAAAAUGAGCCGGCCAUGGUGGCGGGCACCUGUAGUCCCAGCUACGUGGGAGGCUGAGGCAGGAGAAUCACUUGAACCCAGAGGGUAGAGGUUGCAGUGAGCCAAGAUCGCACCACUGCAUUCCAGCCUGGGUGACAGAUGAAGACUCCAUCCUCCCACCCCCGCAAAAUACAUAUAUUCUAAGAAUGAAGCUCAAAAAGGAAUGGGGAAAGGAUACAAAUUAACCAAUGGGGUACAUUUGGCAAUAACUACUGAGUCCUCAUUUUAUAGGUGGGAAGUAAAGAGCUUUAUUCUUUCGUUCAACAAAAUUUUAUCUGGGCAAUGGCUCAUGCCUGUAAUUCCAGUGCUUUGAGAGGCUGAGGUGGGAGGAUUGUUUGAAGCCACGAGAAUCUUGUCUCAAAAAAAAAAUAAAUAAAAAUAAAAAAGGCCGGAGUGGUGGUGUGUCCCUGUAGUCUCAGCCACUCAGGAGGCUGAGGCGAAAGGAUGACUUAAGCCCAGGAAUUUGAGGUUACAGUGAGAUGUGAUUGUGCCACACACUCCGGCCUCGAUUCGAAGUUAACAUCAAACUCUCUCUUUCUCCUCAUUCUGCCAUCCUCAAUGUAUUUCCUUGAAGAGUCCAGGCAUAUUCCCUCACAGUCAAGAGGCCACUGCUUGGAGUAUCGUGUCUUUGUACAUGGUCUUUGCAUCAUGUCAAGGCAGAAAGUAGGGGCUCCCCAUUUACUAAGAAGAACAAAACUUUCCCAGAAGCCAGACAUGUCUUUGACCAGAACUGGAUCACAUGACCAUCUCUAGCUAUAAGGAACGGGAAGGGAGCAGCCAAUGAAGGGGAAUGGGAGUGCCCUAGCUUCUCAGAUCAAGCAUGCGUCCCCUAGGGCUGGGCGCACCUGCUAAGGCUUGGGGUUCUGUUAGCAAGAGGAAAUGGGAGGCUGGCUGCUGGGGACAGGAGGGGACCUAGGCAACUCCCGGCGCCCAUCUCCUCUCCAGAUGGUUACAUUCCAGAAGUAAGGGAGGAAGUCCAAUCCAGCACUUGCGGUAACACUGCGGUCAUGGUUGUUCCUGGUGGGAGGAUGGAUGUGGUGAACUGAGUAGUGGGGGUGUGGGGCUGAAGGGAGAGGGAGAGAAUUGGAAACCUUGGGUAGUAGGGACUGUGUCAUGCAUUCUCUGGGGCCCCACGUCCCACAUGAGGCCACACGCAGCAUGAGGGUUCAACAGGUGUCGGAUGCUUAAAUAAACAAAUGAACUGGGGGUGGGGGAACAGGGGCAGGACUCAUCUGCUCUGUCACCUGGUGUUCUUAUCCCCACAGGCCCCUGAUACACUUUUCCAGGAAAAGUGUUGUCUCUACCGAGGUUGGAACGUGCUUUCUGCCGUUGGAAAAUGAAAACUCUGCAACCCCAUGUGUUUCUCUUUCUUCCUUAGCUGCCGGAAACCAGAGCCAACUGUGUGGCCCAAGUGUGGGGAGCUGUGCUCCCUGGUUUCUGAAGCACCACCUUUGCUUCCUUUGGGGAGCACUGUUCAGAUUCACCUGCCUUGCACAGAACCUCUGGGCACCCCCAUGCCUAGCCCAGCGCCAGGGCCAAAUCUCAAAGAAACUCAAGUGCUUGACAAGCCCAGAGUCAUCCGACCUGAGAAAGGUGUCUUAUCAAAGUCCACACUCUCCGAUCUUAGAGGAGACAAAAUAGGAGAGCAAUGGCUUCCGUCAAGGCUGAAAGCAAACAUUUUGGCUAUCUUAACGACCACUGAAUCACCGAGUCCACCGUAUUUUUCCACUUUCAAGUUGUUUCUGGGCUGCUGUGGAGACACGCCCUUCCUGGGUUUAACAGCCCUUGUGUCAGGCAGUGGAGAGGAGGCGUGUUUACUUUUUGCAGGGAAAAUAGUGGUUAAUGGUGGGAUGGAUGGACCUGAUUAGUAAUUGGGUGAUUUACCCCAUGGAUGUUCUUUGGGUUUGCCUGGUGGUUCGCACUUGAAUUUUGGCUGAAUGAAGUAGGAGGAAAAUGGUUUUGAGGAGAAAGGGGUGGGUUUGGCUCAUGGUUGAGGGCUGUUUCAGGGACAGGUGGAGGUUUGUGCAGAUCGAGGGAGAAGGCUGUUCCACCUGUUGUUCAAGACUCUUCCUGUGUUCAUUCAGUCACUCGCGUAAUCGCUCACUCACUCAUUCGCUCAUUCAUAGUUGUGAAGUUCCAAGCAGCUUCUCUGUGCUGGGGAUACAGCACACCUCACAACUGCUAAGCACCGUGGAGCCAACGCGAUGGAUAUGCUGUCUCCGCUACAGACUGCAUCUUGUGUCCCCUGCCGAAUUCCUCUGUUGAAAUCUAAUUCCCAAAGUGAUGGUAUUUGGAGGUGGGGUGUUUGGGAGGUGAGUAGGUCUUGAAGGUGGAUCCCUUGCAAACUGGAUUAGUGCCCUUAAAAGAUAGACUGAAAAGAGCUCCCUGGCUCUCUUUCCACCACGUGAGGACACAGGAGGAGUCAGCCCUAACUCAGAAGAGGGCCCUCACCAGAACCUCAUCAUGCUGGCACCUGGAUUUCAGAUUUCCAGCCUCCAGAACUGUGAGAAAUCCAUUUCUAUUAUUUAUAAGUCACCUGGUUUCUGAUAUUUUGUUACAGCAGCCUGAGCUGGCGAAGACACCCUCCUUCAGAGGAGCGUGCAGACUUGAUAAGGGAAACAGAUGGGCCAACAGAUAAUUCCCAGCGGAGGUGUGUUCAAACAUGAGCCCUGGGGGCUUGGUACUAAGCAAAUGGAGGAACAGAGAUGUAAGUAACUUACCCAAGGUCACACAGCCAGCAGAUCUGCACCAAAGCAGUGUGUCCAGGUUUUAUCAUCAUGAUAUCCAGUUCUACUUUGGAAAUGAGUAACUGGGACAUAAAGGUGCUAAAUAAAUGGGAUCAGUUUUAUUGUUAUUAUGAUUCACUGUUAUCCGGCACUGGUUGAGGCUGCUCUGUGUGACAUCCUAGAGGCACCGUCUGUGAGUUCCUGGUCAGGACGAGGAAGACAACACCACUAUCUCUGGCACGUUUAGCAAACUCUGUCUCCAGGGAUGGGGCUGGAAUGCAGUGGGCAGUUACAGGUCACUACAGCCUCCAACUCUUGAACCCAAGCAAUCCUCCCACUUCAGCCUCCCAAGUAUCUGGGACCAUGAGCGUGUGGCACGACGUAGUUCCCUUCUUUUUACACAGUGUGUAGAGACAGGGUUUCACCAUGUUGUCCAGCCUGAUCUUGAGCUCCUGACCUCACUACAGACAGAAGCAUGCUUUGGCCAAACUGGAGUCUGAGACUGGCCUGGGAACUGGGAAAGAGGAUACAUUUGGGAAAACUGCAGUGAAGAAUGCAUAAUAGUGGAAGGAGUCUUGCGGAUGAUUAUCAGGUGGCUCUCAGAAUCAAGAGGAAAGCUGGAGGUGAGCUUCAGGCAGGAGGGGGUAAACUGAGGGAGGAGGAAGACCCUCUCCAGUAAUGGUCCCUUUCACAUGUCACUACUGGCACCAUUACCAUGGCACUACAGGCUCUGGGUCUUGCUAUGCCCCCUGGACUCUUGACCGUCUAGAAGCCUCUGGGAGUCACUUCUUGCUCUGUGCCUUUAGGUCCCUCCUUCCAGAGUCAAAUCCCUCAUGGGCAGGGCUUCUGGAUAAAAUACAGGAUGCCCAGUGACAUUCAACUUUCAGAUAACUGAAAAGUAAUUUUUAGUAGAAAAAAGUUAUUUAUCUGGCUGGGCAUAGUGGCUCAUGCUUGUAAUCCCAGCACUCUGGGAGCCUGAGGGGGUGGAUCACUUGAGGUCAGGAGUUAGAGACCAGCUUGGCCAACAUGGUGAAACCCUGUCUCUACUAAAAAUACAAAGAAAAUUAGCUGGGCAUCGUGGCAGGUGCCUGUAAUCCCAGCUACUGAGGAGGCUGAGGUAGGAGAAUUGCUUGAACCCAGGAGGCAGAGGUUGCAGUGAGACAAGAUUGUACCACUACACCCAGCCUGGGUGACAGAGUGAGACUCUGCCUCCAAAAAAAAAAAGAAGAAAAAAAGUUAUUUAUCUGAAAUUCAAAUUUAACUGAGUAGCCUAUAUUUCUAUUUGCUAACUCUAGCCACCCAACUCAGAAUGCUGGGCUCUGUCUGCUUUGGGGGUCGGUGGGAAGGAACUCUACCCCUUCCACUUCUGGGGUAAGACUAUCAAUCCUGUUGGAUUGGAUUGAUCACACUUGUUUAGAUGAAGAAUAGAUUAUUAAAAAAAAAAAAAGCAAAUACAACUGCAAUUCCUUUAACUCACCCCCUCCCAUUUUUUUUUGAGACAGGGUCUCACUCUGUCAUGCAGGCUGGAGUACAGUGGCAUGGUCAGGGUUCACUGCAGCCUUGAGGUCCUGGGUUCAAGUGAUCCUCCUGCUUCAGCCUCCAGAGUGCCUGGGACUACAGGUGCAUGCCACCACACCCAGCUAAUUUUUGUAACUUUUUUUUUUUGUAGAGAUGGGGUUUUGCCAUGUUGGCCAGGCUGGUCUCAAACUCCUGGGCUCAGACUAUCUGCCCUCCUCAGCCUCCCAAAGUGCUGGGAUUAUAGGUGUGGGCCACUGUGCCUGUCCUGUUCCCCCAUUUAAACAAAAAGUCACCUCCCCGAUUGAUUUUCAAAGCUGCCUUCACUCAAAGAGGGCCUGGAGGAUCGGAAUGACCCAUAGAGUCAUUCAUUGUCUGUGCAGGCUUUUCAUAACACAAAAGAUAGGUCUUCCCCAUCCUUCCCAUCCUCUCCUUGCUGGUCCUCUUAUAUGCAGAGAAUCCAAGGAUCUUCUUACUGAUGAGUCAUCACCACUCACGAGCAGGUGAAGAAGGAGUGGAGCUGAAAUGGAAAUAAUCUAUGGGCUGGACUGUCUAGACAGCGUUUGCUCCUCUGGAUAGGGAGGAGAGCAGACAGAAGCACGCUUGGCCAAACUGAAACUCAAGCCUCACUGCCAGCCCUUCCUGAACCACCUCAGAUGAGCCUGUCUCUGGGCCACAGCCAGAAUUAGCCUGGGGCUGUUUCUCAUUCCUAGUUCAAAGGAUUUGUGCUCCUAGCAGAGGAAAAGCUUGAACAUUUACAGUAAAAAAUCUAGUAAAAAGGGUAAGAAACAGAGGCUGCUUCUUUCUAUCUUUCUUAUCUUUUUGUUUUGGGGAGGACAGUGAAAGAAAAUUACUUUUUUAACUAUAAAACUUUGUCUUAAGAUCAAUUUUGGAAAGAAAAGCAUCUACUAAUUGAAAACAUCACUUUUUGGGCCCUUAAGUCAAGGGAAACAGGUGCAGGUUUGUGGUUUUAGAGAGAGUAUUUCUUUUGGAAAAAAGCAGAAAAAGUACCCAGAUAAGGUCCUUCCAAAGCCAAAUAGACUUUUAUUUUUCAGCCCUUUAUUACAUAGAAGGUGACUGAGAUUAACUGAAAAGUUAAAAGAAAAAUCAACCCUCACCCUUCUAGGUAACACUCCAGUCUCUUCUUUUACUUUCUGAGGCUGAAGAGAGAGCAAAUGUUUACUGCAAUUCUGAUAAGAUUCCCUUUCAAUAUGGUCUGUUCCUGGAUGGAAUCCCACCUUUCAUCUAUCUGCUUUUAUUCUUAAUCCUGUGGCUAAGCCUGGGCCUCCCUUUUCUUCUUGUACAAGCUCAACAGAGCUGGCAUUUUUCCUUUACCAUUUCAGCGAUGUGUUUUUCAGUGUUUUAUCUGGUUGUGAAGGGGCAGGAAUGUCAAGGUCAAAAAAGUAUCAGAAAAAGUCAGUAGAAUUUCUGUACCUGCUGAGGGUUAGGUGCUUGGAUGUUAUAUAUCUCUGCAUUCCCACAGUAAAACCAUGUGAGGUUGGGAAAGUUUUCUUUUUUUAACCUCUCUGGGUAGUUGAGGAAUUGGAGGCUCAGAGAAGAGAAGUAACACAGCUCAAGGUGACACCACUAGGAGCUGAACUUGAAAGCCAAGCCUGUCUGACCUCCAAGCCUUUGCUCCUGUAGUCAUACUACCUUGCCUUCUGCCUUUGCAAACAUGAGGUGGCAAAUCAAGCUAAGAGCUAUGAAAACACCCAGAAGCACUUUUCUUCCAAAUAACUCAUAACGUCUUAUCUUUGGGAGCUAUUCAAUAGGUUUAUUUCAGUAAAAGAUACACCAUUGCUGUGGUUUUAGGGAAUGAUUAUGAAUCUUAUCUUAUUGAUUAAGAAAGAUGGUUAAUGGAGUCUGUUUCUUUAAGAAAUUUGCAUCACAUAUUAGUUAGCUGCUGCCAUGUAACAAGUCACAUCAACACUUAGUGACUUUAAGUAACAACAUGUAUUAUCUUACAGUUUCUGUAGGGAUGGAAACUGGACAUGAUUUAGCUGGGUCCUGUGCUUCAGGGUCUCUAGCAGGCAGCACAUGAGGUGUCAUCUGGGCUAUAGUCAUCAGAUGGCUGGAUUGGGGAAGAUCUGCUUCCAAGUUUAUUUAGAUGGUUGUUGGCAGGAUUCUGUUCCUGGUAGGCUGCCAGCUUUAGUUCCUCAUUGCCUGAUGGCUGGAGGGUUCUCUUAGUUCCUCUUUAUGUGGGUCUCUGCAGCAUGGCUGCUUGCUUCAUCAAAGUGUACAAGAAGGGAGAUAGCAAUUGGAACAUGUCAGCAAGGUGGAUUUCACAUUCCUUUUUUAAACUAACCGUGGAAAUGAUAUUCCAUCACUUUUGGUGUAUUCUAUGUGUCAGGAACAAGACACUAGGUCCAGCCCACCACUCAAAGUAUGCGAUUACACAGGACAUAAAUACUAUAGGGUGGGGAUUAUGGGCAAUUAUGUCAGCAGCUACGUAUCACACAUGAGAGAAGUGGAAAUGGUGGUUAUAAGAACAGUCAUAAUAAUAGUAAUAAGGCUGGUGAAGACAGCCAGCAUUUACUGGGUGUUCUUGAUGUGUCCGGCACUGGGCUAAAUGCCUUCUAUGUGCUGUCUCAUUUAAUCUCAUCACUCUCUUUAACUUCCCUGAGGUACUACGGCAAAGAAAUUAGGACCUUACUCCAUUGUUUCUACUCCAAAGUUCAUCCCUUUACAUGAUGCAGAUCAUUCAUAUGAAUCCAAUGAGCUGCUGAGGCCCCAAGAAAGCCCUGAUUGAGAGAGGAAUCUGAUAAAUGAAGCUGAACUCACUGCUCAUCAGAAAGUUGCAGAUGAACAUGACCAGAAGCCAUUUCUUACCCAUCAGAUUGGAAAAGAAAAUGUAAGUUGGUGAGAGUGUGGAGAAUUCUCAUACACUGCUGAGAGGCUAUAAAUUUGUACUGCCACCUUGGAGGGAAAUUUGGCAGGAUCUAUUAAAAUUUUAAAAGAACAUAAACAUUAAAAAUGUGCAUAGCCUAUGACCCAGAAAUUAUACUUUUGAGUAUCUACCUUAGAGAAAUACUUGCACAUGUGUACAAAGAACUGUAUACAAGAAUUUUCAUUGCAGUACUGUUUCUAAGAGUAAGUAAUAAAUAGUAAAACUGAAACAUAGUGUAAAUGUUCAUCAGUUUUAAAAAUGGCUAAAUAAAUUGUGGAAAUCAUUCUACCAAAAAGACACAUGCACUUAUAUGUACAUCACAGCACUAUUCACAAUAGCAAAGACAUGGAAUCAACCUAGGUACCUAUCAAUGGUGGACUGGAUAAAGAAAAUGUAGUACAUAUGCACCAUGGAAUACUAUGCAGCCAUAAAAAGAACAAAAUCAUGUCCUUUGCAGCAACAUGGGUGCAGCUAGAGUCCAUUAUUCUAAGUGAAUUAUCUCGGGAACAGAAAACCAAAUACUUCAUGUUCUUACUUGGAAGUGUGAGUUAAACAAUGGGACUCAUGAACAUAAAGGUGGAGACAGGAGACACUAGGGAAUACUGCAGCGGGAGGAGAGAAGAGAAGGAUUGAAAUACUAACUAUUGGGUACUAUGCUCAACACCUCGGUGAUGGGAUCAAUUGUACCCUAAACCUCAGGAUCAUGCAAUAAACCCAGGUAACAAACCUACACAUGUACCCUUUGAAUCUCACAUGUACCCUUUGAAUCUAACAUAAAAGUUAAAAGCAUUUUUUAAAAAAAAUAUAUUGUGGAGCAUCCGUACUAUGGGAAACUAUGCAGCUGGUAAAGAGAAUCUGCGGUAAAGGUGGAUCUGGUAUUAGUUCAUUUUCAAACUGCUGAAAAACACAUACCUGAGACUGGGCAAUUUACAAAAGAAAGAGGUUUAUUGAACUUACAGCUCUACAGGCUGGGGAGGCCUCACAGUCAUGGUGGAAGGCCAUGAGGGGCAAGUCACAUCUUAUGUGGAUGG
Molecule: long non-coding RNA, 17496 nt
Organism: Callithrix jacchus (white-tufted-ear marmoset)
Lineage: Eukaryota; Metazoa; Chordata; Mammalia; Primates; Cebidae
Source: RefSeq, a predicted model, not a curated record